RNAcentral lists this unclassified non-coding RNA (212 nucleotides) under Hevea brasiliensis (rubber tree). Lineage: Eukaryota; Viridiplantae; Streptophyta; Magnoliopsida; Malpighiales; Euphorbiaceae. The record is from RNAcentral.
GCCAGGGGGUUCUGGCGGGAUCUUGAUUUCAUCAGGCGACAUGUUCCGAACUCUUUCAGAAAAGGAGGCCACGAGUUCCUGGGGGUCUCGCUUUUCUGCUUCUUUCUUCCUUUGGAUAAUGUAGUUCAUAUCCAUUCCCUCCUUUAUCUUUCGUUCAUAAAGCUUCUGGAUCUUGUCUUGCAAGUGAUUUGAACAUCUGCCAGGGGGUUCUG